AGACCACAACCAGUCUCACUGUUUGGCCCAGGCUGGAGUGCAGUGAUGCCAUCAUGACUCACUGCAGCCUCGACCUCCCAGGCUCAAGCCAUCCUCCCACCUCAGCCUCCCAAGUAGCUGGACCUGGAGUGGCUGGGACUACAGCCACACACCACCACACUCGGUUAAUUUUUUAAAGUUUUUCUGUAGAGAUAGCGUCUCACUAUGUUGCCAAGGCUGGUCUCCAACUCCUGGACUUAAGCGAUCCUCCCACCUUAACCUCCCAAAGUGCUGGGAUUACAGGCAUGAGCCACCAUGCCCAGCCAAGAUUUUUUUUAAAGUAACACUAAAGUACUGUAUCAAAGAAUAGAAAGAAACAUAAUUUUUUUUUUUUUUUUUUUGAGACAGAGUUUCGCUCUUGUCACCCAGGCUGGAGGGCCAUGGCUUGAUCUCGUGAUCUCGGCUCACUGCAACCUCUGCCUCCCGGGUUCAAGCAAUUCUCCUGCCUCAGCCUCCCGAGUAGCUGGGAUUACAGGCACCUGCCACCACGCCCGGCUAAGUUUUGUAUUUUUAGUAAAGACGGGGCUUCACCACGUUGGCCAGGCUGGUCUCGGACUCCUGACCUCAGGUGAUCCACCCGCCUCGGCCUCCCAAAGUGCUGGGAUUACAGGCGUGAGCCACUUCACCUGGCCAAUAUUUUUAUAUUUUUCUCAAACAUAUUUGUUUAAUUUGCCCUACUGUUAAUUACUACUAAUUGUCGCUGUUCACUAGUCCUGUUGUUUUGCUUAAAUAAUAAUAUUCAUGGAACAAAAAAGUAAAAAAUAUAAAAUAAUGUAUAAUUUCAAGUAAACCUUUACUUCUUAUUUUUAUAUUAAAGUAGUAACAUAUAGGCAUAUA
RNAcentral lists this long non-coding RNA (876 nucleotides) under Homo sapiens (human). RNAcentral describes it as "HSALNT0397445". The record is from RNAcentral. Lineage: Eukaryota; Metazoa; Chordata; Mammalia; Primates; Hominidae.